CCUACGGGUGGCUGCAGUGGGGAAUUUUGGACAAUGGGGGCAACCCUGAUCCAGCCAUGCCGCGUGCGGGAAGAAGGCCUUCGGGUUGUAAACCGCUUUCGGCCGGAACGAAAUCGCCGGGGAGAACAUCCCCGGUGGAUGACGGUACCGGAAGAAGAAGCACCGGCUAACUACGUGCCAGCAGCCGCGGUAAUACGUAGCGUGCGAGCGGGGCGUAGAGCGACUGGGCGUGAAGCGUUCGCAGGCGGGUGAAAGCCCCGGGCUUAACCUGGGAACUGCGUUUGUGACUGGCGGGCUGGAGUGCGGAAGAGGGAGGUGGAAUUCCACGUGUAGCAGUGAAAUGCGUAGAGAUGUGGAGGAACACCGAUGGCGAAGGCAGCCUCCUGGUCUAGCACUGACGCUCAUGCACGAAAGCGUGGGGAGCAAACAGGAUUAGAUACCCGGGUAGUC
This 450-nucleotide ribosomal RNA is filed under the name uncultured bacterium. RNAcentral describes it as "partial 16S ribosomal RNA". It matches the Rfam family "Bacterial small subunit ribosomal RNA", at positions 338 to 795 of the family's 1533-position model. The record is from RNAcentral.